UACGUAGGGUGCAAGCGUUAAUCGGAAUUACUGGGCGUAAAGCGUGCGCAGGCGGUUAUGUAAGACAGAUGUGAAAUGCCCGGGCUUAACCUGGGAACUGCAUUUGUGACUGCAUGGCUAGAGUUUGGCAGAGGGGGGUAGAAUUCCACGUGUAGCAGUGAAAUGCGUAGAGAUGCGGAGGAACACCGAUGGCGAAGGCAGCCCCCUGGGCCAACACUGACGCUCAGGCACGAAAGCGUGGGGAGCAAACAGG
Molecule: ribosomal RNA, 253 nt
Filed under: uncultured bacterium
Lineage: Bacteria
Description: partial 16S ribosomal RNA
Rfam family: Bacterial small subunit ribosomal RNA
Source: RNAcentral